RNAcentral lists this ribosomal RNA (458 nucleotides) under uncultured bacterium. RNAcentral describes it as "partial 16S ribosomal RNA". It matches the Rfam family "Bacterial small subunit ribosomal RNA", at positions 338 to 795 of the family's 1533-position model. The record is from RNAcentral.
CCUACGGGUGACUGCAGUGGGGAAUCUUCCGCAAUGGGCGAAAGCCUGACGGAGCAACGCCGCGUGAUCGAAUGAAGGCCUUCGGGUUGUAAAGAUCUGUUGACAGGGAAGAAAUAAACUCCUUCGGACUUUGGACGGUACCUGACUAAGAAGCCCCGGCUAACUACGUGCCAGCAGCCGCGGUAAUACGUAGGGGGCAAGCGUUAUCCGGAUUUACUGGGUGUAAGGGGAGCGUAGACGGCAGCGCAAGUCUGGAGUGAAAUCCCAUGGCUUAACCCCCAAACUGCUUUUGGAACUGCGUGUCUUGAGUGAUGGAGAGGCAGGCGGAAUUCCCAGUGUAGCGGUGAAAUGCGUAGAUAUUGGGAGGAACACCAGUGGCGAAGGCGGCCUGCUGGACAUUAACUGACGCUGAGGCGCGAAAGCGUGGGGAGCAAACAGGAUUAGAUACCCUGGUAGUC